This 65-nucleotide transfer RNA is filed under the name Leucocelis sp. LEU01. Its description in RNAcentral is "tRNA-Asp". The record is from RNAcentral. Lineage: Eukaryota; Metazoa; Arthropoda; Insecta; Coleoptera; Scarabaeidae.
AAAAGUUUAGUUAAUUUAUAUAACAUUAAUUUGUCAAAUUAAAAUAAUCAUUUUGAUAACUUUUA